Molecule: ribosomal RNA, 395 nt
Filed under: Sulfurovum sp. enrichment culture clone D2
Lineage: Bacteria; Pseudomonadati; Campylobacterota; Epsilonproteobacteria; Campylobacterales; Sulfurovaceae
Description: bacterial SSU rRNA
Rfam family: Bacterial small subunit ribosomal RNA
Source: RNAcentral
CGAACGAUGAAGCUCUAGCUUGCUAGAGUGGAUUAGUGGCGCACGGGUGAGUAAUGUAUAGCUAAUGUGCCCCUUAGAGGGGGAUAACAGUUGGAAACGACUGCUAAUACCCCAUACUCCUUCUUCCUAUAAGGGAAGUUGGGAAAGUUUUUUCGCUAAGGGAUCGGGCUAUAUGGUAUCAGCUUGUUGGUGAGGUAAUGGCUCACCAAGGCUAUGACGCCUAUCUGGUCUGAGAGGAUGAUCAGACACACUGGAACUGAGACACGGUCCAGACUCCUACGGGAGGCAGCAGUGGGGAAUAUUACACAAUGGAGGAAACUCUGAUGUAGCAACGCCGCGUGGAGGAUGACACAUUUCGGUGCGUAAACUCCUUUUAUAUGGGAAGAUAAUGACGG